UGAAAUGUUUUGACCAGAACUUCAGAUAAUUAUUUCAGAUUUACACCUCAUUUGUCUUAUGUAAGCACCAUUUCACUUAUACUAAAGAUAAAAGAAUUAACCUAGAGGUUUUUGUCCAACCAUUUA
Molecule: microRNA precursor, 126 nt
Filed under: Canis lupus familiaris (dog)
Lineage: Eukaryota; Metazoa; Chordata; Mammalia; Carnivora; Canidae
Also listed under: 1 other name
Description: MIR480 microRNA precursor family
Rfam family: MIR480 microRNA precursor family
Source: Rfam by way of RNAcentral